RNAcentral lists this ribosomal RNA (272 nucleotides) under uncultured bacterium. RNAcentral describes it as "partial 16S ribosomal RNA". It matches the Rfam family "Bacterial small subunit ribosomal RNA", at positions 336 to 624 of the family's 1533-position model. The record is from RNAcentral.
UUCCUACGGGGCGCAGCAGUGGGGGAUAUUGCACAAUGGGGGGAACCCUGAUGCAGCGACGCCGCGUGGGUGAAGGAGCGUUUCGGCGCGUAAAGCCCUAUCGGCAGGGAAGAAGAUGACGGUACCUGACCAAGAAGCCCCGGCUAACUACGUGCCAGCAGCCGCGGUAAUACGUAGGGAGCAAGCGUUGUUCGGAAUGACUGGGCGUAAAGGGUGCGUAGGCGGUUGUACAAGUUAGAAGUGAAAUACCCAGGGCUUAACUCGGGUGCUGC